GAUGAACGCUGGCGGCGUGCCUAAUACAUGCAAGUCGAACGCAUUGUGGUUGAAAUGAUAUGAAGAACUUGUUCAGAUUUGAUUUUCAACAUUGCAAUGAGUGGCGAACGGGUGAGUAACACGUGGGAAACCUACCUCUUAGCAGGGGAUAACAUUUGGAAACAAAUGCUAAUACCGUAUAAUAAUUAAAACCGCAUGGUUUUAGUUUAAAAGAUGGUCUUGCUAUCACUAAGAGAUGGUCCCGCGGUGUAUUAGUUAGUUGGUGAGGUAAUGGCUCACCAAGACAAUGAUACAUAGCCGAGUUGAGAGACUGACCGGCCACAAUGGGACUGAGACACGGCCCAUACUCCUACGGGAGGCAGCAGUAGGGAAUCUUCCACAAUGGACGAAAGUCUGAUGGAGCAACGCCGCGUGUGUGAUGAAGGGUUUCGGCUCGUAAAACACUGUGUAAGAGAAGAAUGACAUUGAGAGUAACUAGUUCAAUGUGUGACGGUAUCUUAACC
Molecule: ribosomal RNA, 503 nt
Filed under: uncultured bacterium
Lineage: Bacteria
Description: bacterial SSU rRNA
Rfam family: Bacterial small subunit ribosomal RNA
Source: RNAcentral